CUACAGGCUUAACACAUGCAAGUCGAGGGGAAACGACAUCGAAAGCUUGCUUUUGAUGGGCGUCGACCGGCGCACGGGUGAGUAACGCGUAUCCAACCUGCCCACCACUUGGGGAUAACCUUGCGAAAGUAAGACUAAUACCCAAUGACGUCUCUAGAAGACAUCUGAAAGAGAUUAAAGAUUUAUCGGUGAUGGAUGGGGAUGCGUCUGAUUAGCUUGUUGGCGGGGUAACGGCCCACCAAGGCAACGAUCAGUAGGGGUUCUGAGAGGAAGGUCCCCCACAUUGGAACUGAGACACGGUCCAAACUCCUACGGGAGGCAGCAGUGAGGAAUAUUGGUCAAUGGACGAGAGUCUGAACCAGCCAAGUAGCGUGCAGGAUGACGGCCCUAUGGGUUGUAAACUGCUUUUAUAAGGGAAUAAAGUGAGUCUCGUGAGGCUUUUUGCAUGUACCUUAUGAAUAAGGACCGGCUAAUUCCGUGCCAGCAGCCGCGGUAAUACGGAAGGUCCGGGCGUUAUCCGGAUUUAUUGGGUUUAAAGGGAGCGUAGGCCGGAGAUUAAGCGUGUUGUGAAAUGUAGACGCUCAACGUCUGCACUGCAGCGCGAACUGGUUUCCUUGAGUACGCACAAAGUGGGCGGAAUUCGUGGUGUAGCGGUGAAAUGCUUAGAUAUCACGAAGAACUCCGAUUGCGAAGGCAGCUCACUGGAGCGCAACUGACGCUGAAGCUCGAAAGUGCGGGUAUCGAACAGGAUUAGAUACCCUGGUAGUCCGCACGGUAAACGAUGGAUGCCCGCUGUUGGUCUGAAUAGGUCAGCGGCCAAGCGAAAGCAUUAAGCAUCCCACCUGGGGAGUACGCCGGCAACGGUGAAACUCAAAUGAA
This 879-nucleotide ribosomal RNA is filed under the name uncultured bacterium. RNAcentral's name for it is "bacterial SSU rRNA". It matches the Rfam family "Bacterial small subunit ribosomal RNA", at positions 40 to 909 of the family's 1533-position model. The record is from RNAcentral.